Non-coding RNA from Dipodomys ordii (Ord's kangaroo rat), 65 nucleotides. NCBI's taxonomy places the organism in Eukaryota, Metazoa, Chordata, Mammalia, Rodentia, Heteromyidae. The record is from Rfam.
GGUGGCUCAGUGGUAGAGCUCUUGCCUUGCAUGCAUAAGGCCCUGGGUUCGAUUCCUCAGCACCA